This 276-nucleotide ribosomal RNA is filed under the name Triticum aestivum (bread wheat). RNAcentral describes it as "partial small subunit ribosomal RNA". The record is from RNAcentral. Lineage: Eukaryota; Viridiplantae; Streptophyta; Magnoliopsida; Poales; Poaceae.
AUGAGCACCGACAGCCGCUGGUGCUACAUCGUGCUCUGGGUCACCGCCUCGCGCCGGGGCCGGGCCGUGGACUGGGACGUCCUCAAGGAAGGAGAAAAGUUCAGGCUCAUACGAGCCAACGACGAUGCGACUGUUUUGGAUGCUCUCUCCUUCAGCGCUCUCAAAAUUAGACUGCUUCGCAGCUUGACGGUUGAGAAGAAAAACUAUGUUCAGGUUGAAGGCGCUAAGGUGUUGGAGACGUGCGUGUACUUGUUGAGCGUUUUAUCUGUAGAGUGA